UGCGCCUUGCCAGCCCGCUCAGAAACUUAAAGGAAUUGACGGGGGCCCGGCACAAGCGGUGGAGUAUGUGGUUUAAUUCGAUGCAACGCGAAGAACCUUACCUGGUCUUGACAUCCCGGAGACCCUUAGGAAACUAGGGGGUGCUUCCAUCUGGAAGAAUCUGGAGACAGGUGCUGCAUGGCUGUCGUCAGCUCGUGUCGUGAGAUGCUGGGUUAAGUCCCGUAACGAGCGCAACCCUUGUCCUUAGUUACCAGCACGUUAUGGUGGGCACUCUAAGGAGACUGCCGGUGACAAACCGGAGGAAGGUGGGGAUGACGUCAAGUCAUCAUGGCCCUUACGGCCUGGGCUACACACGUGCUACAAUGGUCGGUACAAAGGGUUGCCAAGCCGCGAGGUGGAGCUAAUCCCAUAAAACCGAUCGUAGUCCGGAUCGCAGUCUGCAACUCGACUGCGUGAAGUCGGAAUCGCUAGUAAUCGUGAAUCAGAAUGUCACGGUGAAUACGUUCCCGGGCCUU
RNAcentral lists this ribosomal RNA (515 nucleotides) under uncultured Pseudomonas sp. RNAcentral describes it as "bacterial SSU rRNA". It matches the Rfam family "Bacterial small subunit ribosomal RNA", at positions 903 to 1382 of the family's 1533-position model. Lineage: Bacteria; Pseudomonadati; Pseudomonadota; Gammaproteobacteria; Pseudomonadales; Pseudomonadaceae. The record is from RNAcentral.